RNAcentral lists this ribosomal RNA (466 nucleotides) under uncultured bacterium. Its description in RNAcentral is "SSU rRNA". It matches the Rfam family "Bacterial small subunit ribosomal RNA", at positions 1 to 475 of the family's 1533-position model. The record is from RNAcentral.
GGCUUAGAGUUUGAUCCUGGCUCAGAUUGAACGCUGGCGGCAUGCUUUACACAUGCAAGUCGAACGGUAACAGGUCUUCGGAUGCUGACGAGUGGCGAACGGGUGAGUAACACAUCGGAACGUGCCUAGUAGUGGGGGAUAACUACUCGAAAGAGUAGCUAAUACCGCAUGAGAUCUACGGAUGAAAGCAGGGGACCUUCGGGCCUUGUGCUACUAGAGCGGCUGAUGGCAGAUUAGGUAGUUGGUGGGGUAAAAGCUUACCAAGCCUGCGAUCUGUAGCUGGUCUGAGAGGACGACCAGCCACACUGGGACUGAGACACGGCCCAGACUCCUACGGGAGGCAGCAGUGGGGAAUUUUGGACAAUGGGCGAAAGCCUGAUCCAGCAAUGCCGCGUGCAGGAUGAAGGCCCUCGGGUUGUAAAAUGCUUUUGUACGGAACGAAAAGCCUGGGGCUAAUACGCUCCGG